UACAGAGAGUGCAAACGUUGUUCGGAAUUACUGGGCUUGAAGCGCACGUGGGCGGCAUCGUAAGUGUCGGGUGAAAUCCCACGGCUCACCCGUGGAACUGCCCGGCAGACUGCGAUGCUCGAGUGUGGUAGGGGAGAACGGAACUCCUGGUGGAGCGGUGAAAUGCGUAGAUAUCAGGAGGAACACCGGUGGCGAAGGCGGUUCUCUGGUCCACAACUGACGCUGAGGUGCGAAAGCCAGGGGAGCAAACGGG
RNAcentral lists this ribosomal RNA (253 nucleotides) under uncultured bacterium. RNAcentral describes it as "partial 16S ribosomal RNA". It matches the Rfam family "Bacterial small subunit ribosomal RNA", at positions 524 to 776 of the family's 1533-position model. The record is from RNAcentral.